RNAcentral lists this ribosomal RNA (460 nucleotides) under uncultured bacterium. RNAcentral's name for it is "partial 16S ribosomal RNA". It matches the Rfam family "Bacterial small subunit ribosomal RNA", at positions 338 to 795 of the family's 1533-position model. The record is from RNAcentral.
CCUACGGGCGGCAGCAGUGAGGAAUAUUGGUCAAUGGACGAGAGUCUGAACCAGCCAAGUAGCGUGAAGGAUGACUGCCCUAUGGGUUGUAAACUUCUUUUAUAUGGGAAUAAAACGUUCCACGUGUGGGAUUUUGUAUGUACCAUAUGAAUAAGGAUCGGCUAACUCCGUGCCAGCAGCCGCGGUAAUACGGAGGAUCCGAGCGUUAUCCGGAUUUAUUGGGUUUAAAGGGAGCGUAGGUGGAUUGUUAAGUCAGUUGUGAAAGUUUGUGGCUCAACCGUAAAAUUGCAGUUGAAACUGGCAGUCUUGAGUACAGUAGAGGUGGGCGGAAUGCGUGGUGUAGCGGUGAAAUGCUUAGAGAUCACGAAGAACUCCGAUUGCGAAGGCAGUUCACUGGACUGCAACUGACACUGAGGCUCGAAAGUGUGGGUAUCAAACAGGAUUAGAUACCCUAGUAGUC